UCCAGUACUGCCUUUGAUACUGGAAGUCUUGAGUGCGGGAGAGGUGGGUGGAAGUGCGAGUGUAGAGGUGAAAUUCGUAGAUAUUCGCAAGAACACCAGUGGCGAAGGCGGCUCACUGGCCCGAUACUGACGCUGAGGCACGAAAGCGUGGGGAGCAAACAG
This 162-nucleotide ribosomal RNA is filed under the name uncultured bacterium. RNAcentral describes it as "partial 16S ribosomal RNA". It matches the Rfam family "Bacterial small subunit ribosomal RNA", at positions 614 to 775 of the family's 1533-position model. The record is from RNAcentral.